Long non-coding RNA from Chinchilla lanigera (long-tailed chinchilla), 1881 nucleotides. The record is from Ensembl. Lineage: Eukaryota; Metazoa; Chordata; Mammalia; Rodentia; Chinchillidae.
AUGUGCACUUCAAAAGAGGUCGCUGUCCCUGGAAAGGAGCUCAGAGGACAUUUGAAAACAUGCAAGUGGCUGUUGAUUUGGACAGACACGGUGCUGUGUGUACCCAGAAUGCACCACAGAGGCCUGGGGAGUGUUCAAGGCAUGAACUUGAAGCGGCUGUGUCCACAGAGUGGAUCAGACCACAAGCUCAUCCUCCACAAGGCUCAGCAGCACCAGCCUCGGAAAGGUCAGAUCACCAAGGGGAGUCUCCGUUUACGUUGGGAAAACCAAACCCACAGAUGGAGCAGUGUGUCCCACUCCACGUGGGCACUGCCGGUGAUGAGGCUCAGACUCCAGCCCCUGCAGAAUGGAACCUGUGACCUCCUGAACGGUCUGUCUUCCCAACUCCUGCCCCAGCCUGGGCCCCAUGGGGACACCUGUGUGAAUGGUGUGGCAGGGAGACGGGCAGAGCCAUGGGUCGGUCCUACCUCCCCAAAACUUUGGAAGUCACCAUUGUACUUGUAAAACACAGCUUUUCUUUUCCCCUUUUUUUCCUUCCCUUCCCUUCACUUCCUUUCCUUUCUCUUCCCCUCCUUUGUUCCCUGCCUCCCCCCUUCCUUUCUCUUCUCUCCUCCCCUCCCCUCUCCCCUCUCUUCUCUACCUUCUCUCUCUUCAGUGCUGCAGAUGGAACCCAGAGCCUCAUGCAUGUCAUGCAUCACCUACCACUGAACUUCACCCCCAGCCUCAUAUUCCUGUCUCAAAACUUGGUCUUACAGUUUUUGGUAAACAAUUCUAAAGACAAAGGAGAAGCUGGAAUUACUCAAUUCUGAUUUGUGAAUGCAUACAAACGUGUGCACGGGUCUGUGUAUGUACUAUGCAUGCAUACACCACAUGAAAGGGGGUCAGAAGAGACCGAGUCUCAUACCAUGAAGAGAACUGUCCUUCUCCGUACACGGCACUUGCCACCCAGCCCUGGAAGCAUCACUCAACCCCCUCUCUGUGACUCAUGCUAGAGAUCUGUCUCCCGUGACUCAGUGUCACUGCUGUGGUUUGAACACGGUGGUUAUCGUAACCCUCACGUGUUGGAAGGUGGGUCCCCAGGGUGGUGGUGUUGGGCAAAGAGGAAUCCUCUAGAGGAUGGGGCCUGGCCAGAAGUCCUCAGACAGCAACCACUUCUCCUGGGACCCUUGGUGUCACGAAAGCCGAAGCCAGGCCUCAGCUCUCCCAUUCUGGCCUCCUGCGUGGGAAUGUGAUGUCCUGCGUUGCUGUUGAUAUGAGGUACUUGCUUUCUAGCAUCACCUUGCCUCUAGGAUUGUGCUGUAGGAGUGAAACCUGACCAUGCAGAGACUGUUCUGGGAGAGCCGAGGGUGGGGUAGGCUGUGGUUCCCGCCCAGCCACAUGGUGGGAUUCCUGCCACAGAGAAACUCACCAGGAGUACAGUGGGACAAACAGAUGGGUCUCCCGUCUCCAGCUCUUCUCUCCCAGCCCUGGGAGGAGUGGUUCUAAAGGUCUGGGGAGACCUCUGGGCCCCCCAUCAGGCUGGCUGCUUCCUCAUCCCAAAAGGAGACUCAAGACCCCCUGCACCAUGUUCCGGGGCCCCCGUAACAAUGGGGCACACUUUUGGAGGGACCUGGCCAGCUCAGGUGGCCAGAACUUGUCAUGUCUCCUCACCCCAUAGGCUCCAGAGGUGCCAACCUGAAAGGCUGACAUGGAAGCCCUGGUGGCUUGCGGCUGUCAAAGGUCGCACCCACUGGGGCCUGGUUAACAGUGAAACCGGUGACUCAUAGCGCGCGCUUACCAUGCCCCUACUGCCAGCGUGGGACCAGAUGUGUGGCUUCGGUAUUUCGUGUGCUUGUCCUCGAAAGAGCUCUCAUCGGGUAAAUGGAACACAAAAGUAAACCC